UUCCGGUUGAUCCUGCCGGACCCCACUGCUAUCGGGGUGGGACUAAGCCAUGCUAGUUGAGCGUUUCGAGCUAUGACGAGACGCGGCGUACGGCUCAGUAACACGUAGUUAACCUACCCUUAGGACGGGGACAACCCUGGGAAACUGGGGCUAAUACCCGAUAGGCGAGGAGACUUGGAAUGGUUCCUCGCCGAAAAGGCGUUGAAACCACGCUUUUCAACGUUGCCUAAGGAUGGGACUGCGUCCGAUCAGGUUGUUGGUGAGGUAACGGCUCACCAAGCCUAUAACCGGUACGGGCUGUGAGAGCAGGAGCCCGGAGAUGGGCACUGAGACAAGGGCCUAGGUCCUACGGGGCGCAGCAGGCGCGAAAACUCCACAAUGUACGAAAGUGUGAUGGGGCUACCCCGAGUGCCGUCCGCUGAGGAUGGCUUUUCUCCAGUGUAACAAGCUGGAGGCAAUAAAGGGAGGGCAAGAAUGGUGUCAGCCGCCGCGGUAAUACCAACUCCCUGAGUGGUGGGGACGAUUAUUGGGCUUAAAGCGUUCGUAGCCGGCCUGAUUAGUCCCGCGUCAAAUCCAGCGACCUAAUCGUUGGGUUGCGAGGGAUACGGUCAGGCUUGGGAGCGGAAGAGGUUAGCGGUAUUCCCGGGGUAGGGGCGAAAUCCUGUAAUCCCGGGAGGACCACCGGUGGCGAAGGCGGCUAACCAGAACGCGUCUGACGGUGAGGGACGAAAGCUGGGGGAGCGAACCGGAUUAGAUACCCGGGUAGUCCCAGCCGUAAACGAUGCGGGCUAGCUGUUGGGAUGGCUACGAGCCAUCCCGGUGGCGCAGGGAAACUGUUAAGCCCGCCGCCUGGGGAGUACGAUCGCAAGAUUGAAACUUAAAGGAAUUGGCGGGGGAGCACCACAAGGGGUGAAGCUUGCGGUUUAAUUGGAUUCAACGCCGG
This 943-nucleotide ribosomal RNA is filed under the name uncultured archaeon. Its description in RNAcentral is "bacterial SSU rRNA". It matches the Rfam family "Archaeal small subunit ribosomal RNA", at positions 1 to 921 of the family's 1478-position model. The record is from RNAcentral.